GGCGAGUGAAGCGGCAACAGCUCAAAUUUGAAAUCUGGCGUCUUCGGCGUCCGAGUUGUAAUUUGCAGAGGGCGCUUUGGCAUUGGCAGCGGUCCAAGUUCCUUGGAACAGGACGUCACAGAGGGUGAGAAUCCCGUACGUGGUCGCUAGCCUUUACCGUGUAAAGCCCCUUCGACGAGUCGAGUUGUUUGGGAAUGCAGCUCUAAAUGGGAGGUAAAUUUCUUCUAAAGCUAAAUACUGGCCAGAGACCGAUAGCGCACAAGUAGAGUGAUCGAAAGAUGAAAAGCACUUUGGAAAGAGAGUUAAAAAGCACGUGAAAUUGUUGAAAGGGAAGCGCUUGCAGCCAGACUUGCCUGUAGUUGCUCAUCCGGGUUUCUACCCGGUGCACUCUUCUACGGGCAGGCCAGCAUCAGUUUGGGCGGUUGGAUAAAGGUCUCUGUCAUGUACCUCUCUUCGGGGAGAACUUAUAGGGGAGACGACAUGCAACCAGCCUGGACUGAGGUCCGCGCAUCUGCUAGGAUGCUGGCGUAAUGGCUGUAAGCGGCCCGUCUUGAAACACGGACCAAGGAGUCUAACAUCUAUGCGAGUGUUUGGGUGUCAAGCCCGAGCGCGUAAUGAAAGUGAACGGAGGUGGGAACCUUUCGGGGUGCACCAUCGACCGAUCCUGAUGUCUUCGGAUGGAUUUGAGUAAGAGCAUAGCUGUUGGGACCCGAAAGAUGGUGAACUAUGCUUGAAUAGGGUGAAGCCAGAGGAAACUCUGGUGGAGGCUCGCAGCGGUUCUGACGUGCAAAUCGAUCGUCAAAUUUGGGCAU
This 812-nucleotide ribosomal RNA is filed under the name Didymella americana. RNAcentral describes it as "eukaryotic LSU rRNA". It matches the Rfam family "Eukaryotic large subunit ribosomal RNA", at positions 88 to 918 of the family's 3401-position model. Lineage: Eukaryota; Fungi; Ascomycota; Dothideomycetes; Pleosporales; Didymellaceae. The record is from RNAcentral.